GGAGGAAUUCUUCCAUUUGGAGCUGUUUUCAUCGAGCUUUUCUUCAUUCUCACCUCGAUCUGGCUGAAUCAAUUCUACUACAUCUUUGGUUUUCUGUUCCUCGUUUUCGCAAUACUCUUGGUCACCUGUGCUGAAAUAACAAUUGUCCUCUGCUACUUCCAGUUAUGCAGCGAGGACUACCUCUGGUGGUGGAGGUCAUACCUCACAUCCGGUUCCUCAGCACUGUACCUCUUCCUCUAUGCAACAUUCUACUUCUUCACAAAGCUUGAGAUAACCAAACUUGUUUCAGGGGCCUUGUACUUCGGAUACAUGCUAAUUGCAUCGUAUGCAUUUUUCGUGCUAACUGGGACAAUCGGAUUCUAUGCAUGCUUAUGGUU
RNAcentral lists this long non-coding RNA (377 nucleotides) under Populus trichocarpa (black cottonwood). RNAcentral describes it as "long non-coding RNA (PTRI_LNC001886)". The record is from RNAcentral. Lineage: Eukaryota; Viridiplantae; Streptophyta; Magnoliopsida; Malpighiales; Salicaceae.